RNAcentral lists this long non-coding RNA (2472 nucleotides) under Canis lupus familiaris (dog). Its description in RNAcentral is "lncRNA (ENSCAFG00000057165.1)". Lineage: Eukaryota; Metazoa; Chordata; Mammalia; Carnivora; Canidae. The record is from RNAcentral.
UUUUUUUUUUUUUUUUUUUAAGAUUUAUUUGAGAGAGAAUGAACAUGUGCGAGCAGGGAGGAAGGGCAGAGGGAAAAGGAGACAAAUGGACUCUCUGCCAAUUGGGGAGCCUGACACAGGGCUUGAUCCCAGGACCCUGAGAAAUCAUGACAUGAGCUGAAACCAAGAGUCAGAUGCUCAACCAACUGAGCCCCCCAGGUACCCUCCCCCAGGUAUCCAGUUCUUAAAAAAAUAUAUUCUUUCCUGCCAAGCAUGGAAAACAAAUUAUUUUAUUUUUAAUUUAUUUUUAUUUAUAGAUUUUAUCUAUUUACUCAUGAGAGACCCACAGAGAGAGGCAGAGACAUAGGCAGAGGGAGAAACAGGUUCCCUGUGUGGAGCCUGAUGUGGGACUCAAUCCCAGGACCCCAGAAUGAUGAUGUAAGCCAAAGGCAGAUGCUCAACCACUGAGCGACCCAGGCAUCCCGGAAAACAAAUUAUUUUAGAGUAUUUUUUUAUGGUCUGUGGCCAUGAGAAACUGAAGAUUAUCCUGAUCCUAUCUUUUCCUUCCAACCUUGGUGGAAGUAAAAAUGACAACAAUAAUCUAAUGAAACUAGUUUGCAAUGCAUUUUUUCUUCAAAAUAAAGAUAUACUUUUAUUCCAUAGUCUUCAAAUGUAGUACUUACCACAGACAAGUAUUCUAAUUGAUCAAUUUUUCCCCUCAAAUAAUCUUUUCUGUUUACACUAUUCAGUAGCUAAGAGUGGGACAGGAGAUGGCUUUCAGAGUGAGUAUGAGUACAGCAAUCAUGCCCUAGAUACUAUCACACAUGUCCAGUCUCCACUGCAUCUGGGAAUCUGGACUUGAGACCAGGGAUAUAAAUAACCCAGCUCAGAGCAGAGCCGGACAAGAAUCUCAGGGGUUUCAGUUUACCAGAUCAUUCUGCUUGAUUUCGAGUGCCAGAAAUCUGUAGUUGAGGCAGCCAAUGGAUGCUGUCCUGCUGAGGAAUGACUCUGAGGGUGUAGUCUUUGAUUUGGGCUGAGGCUGCUCUUAUCCUCUCCUCCAAAAGGGAUGUUGUUGAAAUCUCUGCUAAAGGUAGAACCCAACCAUUACAGCUAUCACUGUGCUUGCCAACUCCCCUCUCUUGGUGAGGAUCGGCAGUAUUUCUUUCUCAGUCCUGUAUAACAAAACCAGCAGUGUCUGGAGACUGUGGAUGAUCAGUCAAUAAAUAUUUAAUAAAUGAAUUAAUGGGUAAUAAGACGCACUGAUCAGGAUGAAAUUUAGUUUGUAGAUGGCAUCAAGUUCCUGGCAUCUUAUUCCUCAUGCUUAAGCCUAUAUGACAUUUUUAUACCUAGUGACACUAUCAUAGUGGCUAGGAAACCAAGUCCUGGGUUUUCUGAUUCCCAAAUAUCUCUUGUCCCUUCCCCUUCCCCUUCUCUUCCUCUUCAUGGUCUGUCAUCUCUUACCUGAGUAUCUCUGUCUUCAGUCUCUCCACUCUCAGACGUUAAACUUUAGUUUUUAAAGGCACAAACCUAGUCAUGCAAGGUCCCUCUUUCAAAACUUUCUAUUCCUGUCCAACUUUGCUCCCUCACCACACCUACCCUCCCAUGAGAACCUCAGUGGCAAGGCUAACUAUGUAUAAAGAUGCACUUUUGCCAAUAACCUGUCUGAUGUCCCAGGUUGUUUUUACACAUUAAAUUGUUUUUUCAAUAUCUUAAUCAUACUUUUAUCUUCAAUAGGGGUUGUUCUAAUGUUUUACUUCCUAUUUAGUUUUUACUGUUUCUGGAAGAAACGUGUUUUCAAAAGAAGUAAACAUAUUAAUGUAAGAGAACACUAAUAUAUAUUAGCAUGUAAUCAUUGCCCCAAAAGAAUAAUUUAUGACAAAGAACUUUGUGCUAAGUGUAAAGUGCUGGCCUAUAUAUUAAAACAAUGCAUCAAUGCAAAGUGGUUUACAUCCUUAGAGCUUAGAGCAAUGACUCCUGACAAUAAUUUGGUCAGUCUAUAUUGUCCUAAUUUUCCCUAGGGAGAUCAAUCUGUGCAGAAGAAGAAAAUAUAAACCACUGGUCUCAUGGUGGAGGGUGGGAGCUGUGUCUUAAAAUACAGAAAGGAGGAAUGAAAAAAGGUAAGACAAAAGCAAAGUUAUCUGUCUACACAUUAACUCCUUAAAAAUAAUGGUGAACUAUUAAAGGAUUUAUUUUAAAGUAAUCUCUAUAUCCAAUGUGGCACUCAAACUUACAACCUCUGAGAUCAAGAGUUGCAUGCUCUACUGAGCCUGCCAGGUGCUCCAAUAAUGCUGAACUAUUGGACACAAUCACCUUGUCCCAUAUAUGAGAAAGGGAAAAAAAAGAUCAAACUGCCCAUUGUGGGAUUUUUCUAAUCAGCAUUUUAAACUGGAUUUUAAACCUUUUCAGACUUAAGUCAACUUCUCUCUCUCCAGAUGGCCCCUAUAACUUCCCUAGGGUGGAAAUCCCAACUCUCCGCUUCCUGCUGCUUCCCUA